UUUGUUGUGUCAGUAUAGGAUCCAAAACUGAGGUUCUGCUUUGGUUGUGAGAAAGCCUUAGCUCCCUGAGAAGGCUCUGAGAAGGCUCCAUGAGAGCAACUGGUCUAGAGGAAUCUUCUUGCCAGAACAUGGGGUGAACAGCUGCUAAGCCUCAUGAAAUCAGAGUGCUGCAGUUCUGCAGUGAAGGACCUGGGAUUCUGCCCACCACGCCGUCCUGGCCCUUCAGAUGCCGCAAGCUCUGCCCCAGAAGGCUGACCUGUAUAGACAGUUUCAAAGGAUUUCCUUACCUUUUGGCUUCCUUGAGGAGCCUGGAGAGGGGAAGGCAGCGAGGGUCUUUCUUUCAGCAAUCUGUCAAGUGCAUUCAAUGACAUGUCCAAGGCCAUGGGCAGAGUCCAGAUUGCAACUCAGAAUCCUGGAGUGUCUGCGUCUCUCUCCAAUCUCCUUGCAGUUCCUGGACCAUCUCACCUUGGUGAGAUGAGUACAACCACCUGAGGCAGAUGAGAGGUAGGAGUUUCUGGUUCUGAAUUCUGUGGCGAGGCCCCAGAGAGCUGAGAAAACAGUGAGGCAUCACCACAAUCUCCGAGUUUCCCAAAUGAGACUCCCAGGUGGAGAUGUGGGAUAAGAAAUGAACUGCCGGGUCCCAAGUCCAUUCCUGUGCAGCCACACACUGUUCAACCAACAAGGGGUCUACCCUGGGAGAAUUUAUGGUCUACAUGUCUCCUUAUUGGUCUGAGA
Choloepus didactylus (southern two-toed sloth) is the source of this 735-nucleotide long non-coding RNA. RefSeq lists it as uncharacterized. The record is from RefSeq and is a predicted model, not a curated record. NCBI's taxonomy places the organism in Eukaryota, Metazoa, Chordata, Mammalia, Pilosa, Megalonychidae. The transcript has 3 exons.